AAUAAGGUGCCUGAUUAAAGGGUUAUUUUGAUAGAAUAAAUUAUGUAUUUUUACCCUUAUUA
This 62-nucleotide transfer RNA is filed under the name Corythucha ciliata (sycamore lace bug). Its description in RNAcentral is "tRNA-Ile". The record is from RNAcentral. Lineage: Eukaryota; Metazoa; Arthropoda; Insecta; Hemiptera; Tingidae. RNAcentral also lists the same sequence under 2 other names.